ACUUUUAAUGGAUAACAGCAGUCCGA
This 26-nucleotide transfer RNA is filed under the name Agama atra (Southern rock agama). RNAcentral's name for it is "partial tRNA-Leu". The record is from RNAcentral. Lineage: Eukaryota; Metazoa; Chordata; Lepidosauria; Squamata; Agamidae.